This 66-nucleotide transfer RNA is filed under the name Pristimantis andinognomus. RNAcentral describes it as "partial tRNA-Gln". The record is from RNAcentral. Lineage: Eukaryota; Metazoa; Chordata; Amphibia; Anura; Strabomantidae.
GAGAGAUGGGCAUCGAACCCAUAUUUGAGNAAUCAAAAUUCUCAGUAAUUCCAUUUUACUACUCCC